This 373-nucleotide ribosomal RNA is filed under the name uncultured bacterium. RNAcentral describes it as "bacterial SSU rRNA". It matches the Rfam family "Bacterial small subunit ribosomal RNA", at positions 521 to 896 of the family's 1533-position model. The record is from RNAcentral.
UAAGACGGAGGGGGCUAGCGUUGUUCGGAAUGACUGGGCGUAAAGGGCGCGUAGGCGGUUUUUUAAGUGAGGCGUGAAAGCCCUGGGCUUAACCUAGGAGGUGCGUUUCAUACUGAAAGACUUGAGUACGAGAGAGGAAAGCGGAAUUCCUAGUGUAGAGGUGAAAUUCGUAGAUAUUAGGAAGAACACCAGUGGCGAAGGCGGCUUUCUGGCUCGUAACUGACGCUGAGGCGCGAAAGCGUGGGGAGCAAACAGGAUUAGAUACCCUGGUAGUCCACGCUGUAAACGAUGAGUGCUAGACGUUGGGGGGAGACUCUCAGUGUCGCAGCUAACGCAUUAAGCACUCCGCCUGGGGAGUACGGUCGCAAGAUUA